ACCUAAUUCCCACAACUCACUGGGGUUAUAAGCAUAAUAAGAGGCGUGUUCCACCACUGUGGACGGGGUCCCUGGGCUUUCCCCUAGGGUCCCAUCAGCUGCUUAUGUUCUACCUUCUGACGGAUCACAGGAGGAGCCUGCAGCGGAGGAGCCUCCUCCUCCUCAGCAUCAGACCUAAAGGGAGUGUCCUGCCUGAAGGACCGGCUCAAGGUCGCACUAACAGCUCUUGCUAACUCCUGUUCCAGGCUGUUUAUCUGGGCCUCCAAGUACCCUGCUUGCGCCUGGAGGUCUCUCACCCCCAGGUCCUGCUCAAAGCUGUGCACUUGGGCCCCCAGGCAUGCGGCUUGCUCCGGAAGGUCCCUUACCUGUGGCACUGAGCAUGUACUUCCUGCAGUGCAGUUAGAAAUGCCCAUCCGACUCUGCUUGCAAAGUGCAGAGAGGGAGACACCCUUACAAAUGGAGAUUUGCUGGAUAGAAAUGUGGCCAAAGAGUUCAAUAAAAGGGCACAGCUGCUUAAAGACUGUUACCGGAAAGGAAUCCUGAUCCAGACGCCAAGAGAGGGUUCUUGGACUCAUGCAAGAAAGACUUCAGACAAGUACAGACAAUCACCAGGAACUAAGGAACAAGAAGCAUCCAACCCUGCAUCUGUGGGUUUCCUGAGGUGACUCUCAAUUGUCAUAGGGGUGAAGAGUGAGUGAGGAAACCCUUGGAGCACUUGUUUGCUUCACAGACAUCCUGACCUCCUUUCAACUGUAAAGACUUAGUCAGAGGACGGCGGCUCCCUCAGCCUCAUUCUGCAGUUCCAAUGACACUUUUUACAAAGGCUCUGUACUUGUCUGAUUCUUAAAUAUUCCAGUUUUUGAACUUU
Molecule: long non-coding RNA, 868 nt
Filed under: Homo sapiens (human)
Lineage: Eukaryota; Metazoa; Chordata; Mammalia; Primates; Hominidae
Description: long intergenic non-protein coding RNA 2984
Source: RNAcentral